AGAGUUUGAUCCUGGCUCAGAGCUAACGUUGGCGGCGUGCCUAACACAUGCAAGUCUAAGGUGAUAGUUCGCAAGAAUGUGUAGCCUGGCGCACGGGUGAGUAACACGUGGAUAACCUACCUUAUGGUCUGGGAUAACCUAGGGAAACUUGGGACAAUACCAGAUGAUGUGUCAUGCCCUGCGGGGUGUGCCAUGAAAGACGGAGUAAUCUGUCACCAGAGGAGGGGUCCGCGUCCCAUUAGCUAGUUGGCGGGGUAAAGGCCCACCAAGGCUACGAUGGGUAGCUGGUCUGAGAGGAUGAUCAGCCACACUGGCACUGACACACGGGCCAGACUCCUACGGGAGGCAGCAGUGAGGAAUAUUGCGCAAUGGACGAAAGUCUGACGCAGCGACGCCGCGUGAGGGAUGAAGGCCUUCGGGUUGUAAACCUCUGUAGAAGGGGAAGAAUAAGGUUGGGAGUAACUGCCCAAUCGAUGACGGUACCCUUAAAGUAAGCACCGGCUAACUCCGUGCCAGCAGCCGCGGUAAUACGGAGGGUGCAAACGUUGCUCGGAAUUACUGGGCGUAAAGGGGGCGCAGGCGGAUUGGUAAGUCAGAUGUGAAAGCCCUGGGCUCAACCUAGGAACUGCAUUUGAAACUGCCUGUCUAGAGUUUGAAAGAGGAAAGCGGAAUUCCUGGUGUAGCGGUGAAAUGCGUUGAUAUCAGGAGGAACACCGGUAGCGAAGGCGGCUUUCUGGUUCACAACUGACGCUCAUGCCCGAAAGCGUCGGGUAGCAAACAGGAUUAGAUACCCUGGUAGUCCACGCCCUAAACGAUGAAAACUAGACGUUGGAGGAGUUAACCCCUCCAGUGUCAAAGCUAACGCGUUAAGUUUUCCGCCUGGGGAGUACGGUCGCAAGAUUAAAACUCAAAGGAAUUGACGGGGACCCGCACAAGCGGUGGAGCAUGUGGUUUAAUUCGAUGAUACGCGAAGAACCUUACCUGGGUUUGACAUGGUAGAGAACCUUGCAGAGAUGCGAGGGUGCCUUCGGGAGCUUUAUCACAGGUGCUGCACGGCUGUCGUCAGCUCGUGUCGUGAGAUGUUGGGUUAAGUCCCGCAACGAGCGCAACCCCUGCCUCUAUUUGCCAACAGCUCGGCUGGGAACUCUAGAGGGAUUGCCCCGGUAAACGGGGAUGAAAGAGGGGACGACGUCAAGUCAUCAUGGCCUUUAUAUCCAGGGCUACACACGUGCUACAAUGGACGGUACAAAGGGCUGCAAAACCGCGAGGUGAAGCCAAUCCCAGAAAACCGUUCUCAGUUCAGAUCGCAGUCUGCAACUCGACUGCGUGAAGUCGGAAUCGCUAGUAAUCGCGGAUCAGCAACGCCGCGGUGAAUACGUUCCCGGGUCUUGUACACACCGCCCGUCACACCACGAGGGUCGAAAGGACUGGAAGUAGGUACCUUAACCUUCGGGGGGGGGCUUACCAAGGUUUGUUCGGUGAUUGGGGUGAAGUCGUAACAAGGUG
Molecule: ribosomal RNA, 1506 nt
Filed under: metagenome
Description: bacterial SSU rRNA
Rfam family: Bacterial small subunit ribosomal RNA
Source: RNAcentral